Long non-coding RNA from Perca flavescens (yellow perch), 251 nucleotides. RefSeq lists it as uncharacterized. Lineage: Eukaryota; Metazoa; Chordata; Actinopteri; Perciformes; Percidae. The record is from RefSeq and is a predicted model, not a curated record. The transcript is spliced from 3 exons.
CAUCACUGUUGAUUUCUUAGAUCCUAGGGAAAUAAAACAGCCAGAUCCAAAUCAUCUUCCUGCAAUAAAACCAAAAUUACCUCCAAACUGCAGUAAUCUCACCAUUGAUUACACCUGUCAGGAAAAUGGAAAACCCAGUGACACCAAGGAACUGUCUGAGCUGGAGCCCUUCACAGACUACAGCUGUACUGGUCAGAUCAAGGAAAACAACGUCACCAUUAAAAAUCUAACUCCUUUCAACUUCAGGGUUG